CGUCAGAGUCGUGUGGGCACUCUUGCGGGAAAGUUGGAAGAGGUCCGUUUCCUCGACCAUAGUCCGUGUCUGGGAACGGGUGUUGUGGAUCAGAGUGGUGUGGGUAUUCCCAUGAGUCGUCACUAAUUGAAACGCAUAUUCGCUGUCGAACUGAGUCAGUCCCUUUUAAUCMMGGCCGAUUGUGCMACGGUCGGCGGCGCCGAAUGUGGCACCCGAGUUCAACUAUGAGUGGCCGCAAUUCGCACCAAUUUCAGAGUAUUUUAAUCCCAAUUUAAUUGUGAAUCACCAAAAUACGAACUACAAUUCUUUAUGUGUUUGCUUUCAAUGGGAUUUAAAUGGAACUUGGGUGCUGUCGAUCCUUCUGUUUGACCCUAAUCUAUGGGGUGAUACGGAUUGGCAUUUGUUAAUUAAAUGUAGAAGUGGCGGUCCCUUAAUGCUCGUUACGAAUUUUGGGUUUCCUAAACUGCCACAGGGUGGGGCGAUCUCCUCGGACAAGAUAUUAGCUACUAGGGGCGAAGUGGAUUGGUAGGGAGCGGGUAGUCAGACAUAUGGAGGCAGCUUUCGAAUGGUACACUUGCGGGCGUCAUUCGAAUUACUAAGUGGUAGUCGUGCAGUCCAGUUCCACGUCGAAUUCCUUACCUUUCAUUACCCGAUGUUAAAGAUUGAAUCUUGUUUGCUUUCUGAUACACUUUGGGAUCAGUACUUCCACCUAAAUCAUCAUUUUUCUUUCAUCUCACAAGAAAAAUUGGGCCGAGACCCUGCGCAUGUGUGGCGGGCAGUGGGAGAAGCUACCAUGGAGUAGACAGGGAUGGGWUGCGAUGUAAAAUCUUCUCC
This 834-nucleotide ribosomal RNA is filed under the name Rana sauteri (Taiwan groove-toed frog). RNAcentral's name for it is "partial 12S ribosomal RNA". The record is from RNAcentral. Lineage: Eukaryota; Metazoa; Chordata; Amphibia; Anura; Ranidae.